Molecule: long non-coding RNA, 793 nt
Organism: Salvia splendens (bonfire salvia)
Lineage: Eukaryota; Viridiplantae; Streptophyta; Magnoliopsida; Lamiales; Lamiaceae
Exons: 5
Source: RefSeq, a predicted model, not a curated record
AGUGCAUAGUGGGACUAUGAUUAGAUUCCCACCAUUUAAAGAAGAAAAGGGAUGCAAAACCAACUUCAAUAAUGCAUUUUCUAUUUAGAGCCUUCAAUGUUUCUACAUUUCUGGUAAUUGUGUUUUUUUUUGAUUGGUUGUAUAGGGUUGUAGUCCUGCAUCAUCACAAGACUGCCUCGGGAUGUUGGGCUCGGGGACAUCAACUAAGGGGAAUGUACCUAAAGUGAUGGACAUGGACAGGAGUGGAGCUAGAUUAUGAUUAUUUCAAGGAGAAACUCUUGUGUGGGGACGGCAACAGUGAUUUCAAUGGUGCCAUUGCUGAAUUCCGGAGAGUGAGGAUGGUUUAUCUUUGGAGGUGGCGCUUUCCGAAUAGUAAAGCAUUUAGCAGUUGAUAUAAGGAUUUGAAUCUUGAAUUUGAUGUUACAUUAAAUCCCUCCUUGUUUCAGCAGGUAAACAGAAAAAGAUAGAGGUUCUCGAGCUGUCGUAUGAACUAACUCUUGGUAGCGGUGCUUUUGGAAAUCGGCUGAAGAAAUCCCUUUUCAUCUUCUGUCCUCAGGAACAUGCUCGGAUAAGAAGGGUCUGUAAAAUGUUCAACCAUAUGCACUGAAGAUUUAGACCGUGAUUAGCGUGACAGAAUCUCUGCCCGAAUGAAAAUCGACAGACGAUUGAGGAUGACGCCAAGGUGAAGUCGGGCGACAUUGUCUCGUGCUCGUUGGAGACCCCCUGCAUGUAAUGUUCCAGCAACGGUAUGCUACUCGACUGCCCUAGCUCCUCUACCUCAGAGCACAGCCCG